Molecule: RNA transcript, 6087 nt
Organism: Onychomys torridus (southern grasshopper mouse)
Lineage: Eukaryota; Metazoa; Chordata; Mammalia; Rodentia; Cricetidae
Gene: Lct
Gene name: lactase
Exons: 17
Source: RefSeq, a predicted model, not a curated record
UUGAACAUGGGUCUGCCUUGGCCAGCACUCCUCCUGAGCACUGUUCUCCUGAGUCUUGCAUGCCAGGGGACUGACUGGGAAUCCGACAGGAAUUUUAUUUCAGCCGCUGGGCCUCUGACAAAGGGCUUAGUGCCUAACCUGAGCCAUCCGCUGGGAACCCAGGGCUCUGAUUUGGGAGCUGGUAGCAAGGCCAUCUCCACCUGCCAGCAGCCGUUGCCGUCUCUCUUACCGCGGUAUUUCCAGAGUCUUCACGCCAGUCAGGUCACCCACUACAAAGUGCUUCUGUCAUGGGCACAGCUUCUCCCAACAGGAAGCUCCAAGAAUCCAGACCAGGAAGCCGUGCGGUGCUACCGCCAACUCCUGCAGACCCUCAAGGCUGCCCAGCUUCAGCCCAUGGUGGUCCUGUGCCACCAGGCCCCACCCACCAGCGGCACCUUCCAAAGAGACCGGGACUUCGCUGACCUCUUUGCCGACUAUGCCGCAUUCGCCUUCCAGGCCUUUGGGGACCUUGUUGAGAUCUGGUUCACCUUCAGUGAUGUGGAGAAAGCUAUCGUGGGUCUUCCCCACCAGGCUUCGAAAGCCUCUGCUCUCCAGACCCUCAGCAGUGCCCACAGGAAAGCCUUCCAAGUGUACCACAGCAAGUACUCUUCUCAGGGAGGAAGACUCUCUGUGGUCCUGAAGGCUGAAGAUAUCCCUGAGCUUCUGCGAGCCCCAUCCUCGACUGCACUCACCAAGGACUCAGUUGACUUCCUCUCUGUUGAUUUGACUUAUGAAUGUCAAAGUGUGGCGACUCUACCACAGAAGCUGAGUGAACUGCAGAACAUUAAGCCCAGAAUGAAAGUUUUCAUUUAUACCCUAAAACUUCAGGACUGCCCAUCCACAGGGAAGAGCCCCUCCUCACUGCUCUUCAGCCUGAUUGAAGCCAUAAAUAAAGACCAAGUACAGACUGUUGGGUUCGACAUCAGUGCGUUCCUGAGCUGUCCAUCCAGUUCUGAGGAGAGCCCGUCUUGUUCUCUAACUGACAGCCUGGCCUUUCAGAUUGAGCAGCAGCAGGAGAGAGCAGUUGUGCCCUCUCCCCUUCUAUCAGCCUACCAGAGAGUCUGGGCAGCCUUUGCCAACCAGUCUAGGGAGGAAAGGGAUGCCUUCCUGCAGGAUACAUUUCCAGAAGGGUUCCUCUGGGGCGUAUCUACCGGAGCUUUUAAUGUGGAAGGAGGUUGGGCCGAAGGCAACAGAGGGCCGAGCAUCUGGGACCACUACAGUAACCUGAAUGCUGCCAAGGGCCAAGCGACAGCAAAGGUGGCCAGUGACAGCUACCACAAACCAGUCUCUGAUGUCGCCCUGCUCCGAGGCCUCAGGGUUGGGGUGUACAAAUUCUCCAUCUCCUGGUCCCGGCUGUUCUCCACGGGGCGGAAGAGCAGCCCCAACCUCCAGGGUGUCGCCUACUACAACAGACUGAUCGACAGCCUGCUGGACUCGAACAUCGAGCCCAUGGUGACACUGUUCCACUGGGACCUGCCUCAGGCCCUUCAGGAUCAAGGCGGGUGGCAGAACGAGAGUGUGGUGGACGCCUUCCUGGACUACGCAGCCUUCUGCUUCUCCACUUUCGGGGACCGUGUAAAGCUGUGGGUGACCUUCCACGAGCCGUGGGUGAUAAGCUAUGCAGGCUACGGCACUGGGCAGCACGCACCAGCCAUCUCGGACCCAGGAGUGGCUUCUUUUAAGGUGGCUCACUUGAUCCUCAAGGCACAUGCCAGAGCUUGGCAUCAUUACGACCUUCACUAUCGCCAACAGCAGCAGGGACGCGUGGGCAUUGUGCUCAAUUCAGACUGGGCAGAACCCCUGGAUGGGCAGAGCCCCCAGGACCUUGCUGCCGCUGAGCGCUUCCUGCACUUCAUGCUGGGCUGGUUUGCACACCCCAUCUUUGUGGAUGGAGACUACCCCACCGUCCUUCGGGCCCAGAUCCAGCAGAUAAACCAGCAGUGUGGUGGUCCUCUGGCCCAGCUCCCGAAGUUCACUGCAGCGGAGAAGCAGCUCCUGAAAGGCUCUGCAGACUUCCUUGGUCUGUCUCAUUACACGUCCCGCCUGGUCAGCAAGGCUGGGCCGCAGACCUGCGUCUCCAGCUAUGAUAACAUCGGAGGAUUCUCCCAGCACGUGGACCCCACGUGGCCCCAGACUGCAUCUCCCUGGAUCCGGGUGGUGCCCUGGGGCAUAAGGAGGCUGCUUCAGUUUGCUUCCAUGGAGUACACGAAAGGAAGAGUUCCAAUCUUCUUGGCUGGGAAUGGCAUGCCGGUCGGGGAAGGAGCCGAUCUCCUUGACGACACAGUGAGGGUGAACUACUUCAACCUGUACAUCAACGAGGUGCUCAAGGCUGUCAAGGAGGAUUUGGUGGACGUCCGUUCAUACAUUGCUCGUUCUCUCGUUGAUGGCUUCGAAGGACCCUCAGGUUACAGCCAGAGGUUCGGGCUGUACCAUGUUAACUUUAAUGACAGCAGCCGGCCAAGGACUGCCAGGAAAUCUGCCUACUUCUUCACCAGUGUCAUAGAAAAGAACGGUUUCUCUGCCAAGAAAGCAAGAAGAAGCCCUCUGCCUCUGAAAGCAGACCUUGCCUCCAGAGCCACACCCCUCUUCAGCUUCCCAUCUGAGGUGCCCUCCAAGGCUAAAAUAGUGUGGGAGAAGUUCUCCAAUCAGCCCAAGUUUGAAAGAGAUUUGUUCUAUCAUGGCACAUUCCGGGAUGACUUCCUAUGGGGCGUGUCCUCUUCAGCCUAUCAAAUCGAAGGAGGCUGGGAUGCUGAUGGCAAAGGCCCCAGCAUCUGGGACAAUUUCACCCAUACCCCGGGGAACAAUGUCAAAGGCAAUGCCACCGGAGAUAUAGCAUGUGACAGCUAUCACCAACUGGAUGCCGACCUAAAUAUUCUUCGCACCCUGAAGGUCAAGGCCUAUAGGUUCUCUAUCUCCUGGUCUCGGAUUUUCCCAACAGGAAGAAACACUUCCGUCAACAAUCAUGGUGUUAAUUAUUACAACAGGCUGAUUGACGGCUUGGUGGAGAGCAACAUCUUCCCCAUGGUGACGCUGUUUCACUGGGACCUGCCCCAGGCCCUCCAGGAUAUUGGAGGUUGGGAGAACCCUUCUUUGAUUGACUUGUUCAACAGCUAUGCUGACUUCUGUUUUAAGACCUUUGGUGACAGAGUCAAGUUCUGGAUGACCUUUAAUGAGCCAUUGUAUCUGGUGCUGUUGGGCUAUAGUUCAGGGGUGUUUCCCCCAAAUGUGCAGGACCCUGGCUGGGCACCUUACAGGGUCAGCCAUGUAAUCAUCAAGGCUCAUGCCAGAGUCUACCAUACUUAUGAUGAGAAAUACAGGCAGGAGCAGAAGGGGGUCAUUUCACUGAGCCUCAAUACUCACUGGGUGGAACCCAAGGACCCAGGGCUCCAAAGAGAUGUGGAAGCUGCCGACCGGAUGCUGCAGUUUUCCCUGGGCUGGUUUGCCCACCCCAUUUUUAGGAACGGGGACUAUCCAGAUGUCAUGAAAUGGAAUGUGGGGAACAGGAGUGAACUACAGCGCCUGGCUGAGUCCCGCCUGCCCAGCUUCACAGAGGAGGAGAAGGGCUACAUCAGGGGUACCGCUGACGUCUUUUGCCUCAACACCUACUCAUCUGUGUAUGUACAGCAUAACACUCCUAGGCUGAACCCACCCAACUAUGAUGAUGACCGGGAGCUGACGGUCAGCGAUAUGACCUCUUCGUCCAUCUCCACGGUAGUGCACGCGGCCGUGCCCUGGGGGAUGCGGAGGCUGCUGAACUGGAUCAAGGAAGAGUAUGGCAACAUUCCCAUUUACAUCACUGAGAAUGGACAGGGGCUGGACAGUCCCACGCUGGAUGACACAGCGAGGAUAUUCUACCACAAAACCUAUAUCAACGAGGCUCUGAAAGCCUAUAGGCUGGAUGGUGUGGACCUUCGAGGGUACUCUGCCUGGUCACUGAUGGACAACUUUGAGUGGCUGUCGGGCUACACGGUCAAGUUUGGAUUGUAUCAUGUUGACUUUGACCGUGCGGACAGGCCUCGGACAGCAAGAGCCUCAGCCAGAAACUAUGCAGACAUCAUCACCAACAACGGCAUGCCCCUGGCCAAGGAGGACGAGUUCCUGUAUGGAGAGUUCCCCAAGGGCUUCAUCUGGAGUGCGGCAUCUGCUGCAUAUCAGGUUGAAGGUGCGUGGAGAGCAGACGGCAAAGGGCUCAGUAUUUGGGACACGUUUUCCCACACACCACUGCGGGUCUCAAACAACGACAACGGAGAUGUGGCGUGUGACAGUUACCACAAGAUUGCGGAGGAUGUGGUGGCCCUUCAGAGCCUGCGUGUGUCCCACUAUCGCUUCUCCAUCUCCUGGUCCAGAGUCCUCCCAGAUGGAACCACCAAGUUCAUCAAUGAAGCGGGCCUCAACUACUAUGUCCGCUUCAUAGACGCACUGCUGGCGGCCAGCAUCACUCCACAGGUGACCAUGUAUCACUGGGACCUGCCCCAGGCACUUCAAGACAUCGGGGGCUGGGAGAACGAGACAAUCGUGCAGCUGUUUAAGGAGUAUGCGGAUGUGCUCUUCCAGAGGCUAGGGGACAAGGUGAAGUUUUGGAUCACACUGAAUGAGCCCUUCGUCAUUGCUGCCCACGGCUAUGGCAGUGGAGUGUCUGCUCCAGGGAUCUCCUUCAGGCCUGGCACUGCUCCAUACACUGCUGGUCACAACCUAAUAAAGGCUCAUGCGGAGGCUUGGCAUCUCUACAACGACAAAUACAGAGGCAGCCAGGGAGGCGUGAUCUCCAUCACUAUCAGCAGUGACUGGGCUGAGCCCAGGGAUCCCUCCAAGCAGGAGGACGUGGAGGCCGCCAGGAGAUACGUCCAGUUUAUGGGAGGCUGGUUUGCACACCCCAUCUUCAAUAACGGAGAUUACCCGGAGGUGAUGAAGACGCGGAUCCUUGAGAGGAGCCUGGCGGCAGGCCUCAACAAAUCCAGGCUCCCAGAAUUUACAGAGGCUGAGAAGAAGAGGAUCAAGGGCACCUUUGACUUUUUCGGGUUCAACCACUACACCACCGUGCUGGCAUACAACCUCAACUACCCUGCGGCCAUCUCUUCCUUUGAUGCCGACAGGGGAGUAGCCUCCAUUGCAGACAGCUCUUGGCCAGAGUCCGGCUCCUUCUGGCUGAAGGUGACCCCUUUUGGCUUCCGGAGGAUCUUGAACUGGCUGAAGGAGGAAUACAACAACCCUCUAAUUUAUGUCACAGAGAAUGGAGUCUCCAGACGGGGAGACCCAGAAUUCAAUGACACCGACAGGGUCUAUUACCUCCGCAGCUACAUCAAUGAAGCCCUCAAAGGUAAGAGAUAAGGUGGACCUCCGGGGAUACACGGUGUGGAGCGUGAUGGACAACUUUGAAUGGGCCACAGGCUAUGCAGAGAGGUUCGGGGUGCACUAUGUGAACCGCUCUGACCCUUCUCUGCCAAGGAUCCCCAAGGCAUCGGCCAAGUUCUACGCCUCUGUAGUCCGCUGCAAUGGCUUUCCUGACCCUGCACAAGGACCUCAUCCUUGUCUCCACCAACCAGAGGAUGCUGGACCGACUGCCAGCCCUGUGAAGACAGAAGUGCCCUUCCUGGGGCUGAUGCUGGGUAUCACAGAAGCACAGACAGCCUUGUAUGUACUCUUCGCCCUCCUGCUACUUGGGGUCUGUAGCUUGGCAUUUCUGUUAUACAAAUACUGCAAGCGCUCCAAGCAAGGGGAAACACAGCCAAGCCAACACAACCUGAGUCCAAUUUCCUCCUUCUGACAAGUCACCACCUCCUCAGCUGUGUGGAGAUGCCUGGUUUCUUCAGAUAGGCCUGCUAGCACAGAGGACUCCUGCCCACAGUGGACCUCCUCAUCAAGGCUUCCUGCACUGUGGGAGACGAUUUCCAUCUUGAAGCUUUUCACAUUCUCAGUUGAAAUUAAAGCAUCUUCAGUACUGGGAAUUCUACUGUGGACUCUGAGACCUGCAAGGUAGCCCUGUGGAAAUGCAGAGACCCAACUGUCUAGCAGUUCUCUGCGUUCAUUUCAAGGUUUAAUGGUAGACUC